UGGGGAAUAUUGCACAAUGGACGGAAGUUUGAUGCAGCGACGCCGCGUGGAGGGUGUAGGCCUUCGGGUUGUGAACUCCUUUUUCUCGCGAAAAAGGCACAGUUUUGGCUGUGUUGAUGGUAGUGGGGGAAAAAGCCCCGGCUAACUACGUGCCAGCAGCCGCGGUAAUACGUAGGGGGCUAGCGUUGUCCGGAAUCACUGGGCGUAAAGGGUUCGCAGGCGGAAAUGCAAGUCAGGUGUAAAAGGCAGUAGCUUAACUACUGUAAGCAUUUGAAACUGCAUAUCUUGAGAAGAGUAGAGGUAAGUGGAAUUUUUAGUGUAGCGGUGAAAUGCGUAGAUAUUAAAAAGAAUACCGGUGGCGAAGGCGACUUACUGGGCUCAUUCUGACGCUGAGGAACGAAAGCGUGGGUAGCAAACAGG
This 420-nucleotide ribosomal RNA is filed under the name Fusobacteriota bacterium. Its description in RNAcentral is "Fusobacteria bacterium partial 16S ribosomal RNA". It matches the Rfam family "Bacterial small subunit ribosomal RNA", at positions 355 to 776 of the family's 1533-position model. The record is from RNAcentral. Lineage: Bacteria; Fusobacteriati; Fusobacteriota.